Molecule: ribosomal RNA, 718 nt
Filed under: uncultured eukaryote
Lineage: Eukaryota
Description: bacterial SSU rRNA
Rfam family: Eukaryotic small subunit ribosomal RNA
Source: RNAcentral
CGAGCGUACGGAUUCGGUUGGGCCUUUCCUUCUGGGGAUCCCGAUGUUCUUCAUUGCGCGUCGCGGGGAACCAGGACUUUUACCUUGAAAAAAUUAGAGUGUUCAAAGCAGGCCUUUGCUCGAAUACAUUAGCAUGGAAUAAUAGAAUAGGACAGAGGUUCUAUUUUGUUGGUUUCUAGGACCGCUGUAAUGAUUAAUAGGGAUAGUCGGGGGCGUCCGUAUUCAAUUGUCAGAGGUGAAAUUCUUGGAUUUAUUGAAGACGAACUACUGCGAAAGCAUUCGCCAAGGAUGUUUUCAUUAAUCAGUGAACGAAAGUUAGGGGAUCGAAGACGAUCAGAUACCGUCGUAGUCUUAACCAUAAACUAUGCCGACUAGGGAUCGGACGGUGUUCUUUUUAUGACCCGUUCGGCACCUUACGAGAAAUCAAAGUGUUUGGGCUCGGGGGGAGUAUGGUCGCAAGGCUGAAACUUAAAGAAAUUGACGGAAGGGCACCACAAGGCGUAAACCAGCCGUAGUUAACUCUGCGCCUGAUAGGCACCUAGACAUCAAAUAGGUCGUGGUCAGUCCUCCACCUGUCGGGGGUGGGAAAAGCCUAGUCAACCUCUCUUUCGAGAGGGUGUUGGCGAGACCGUCAAAUUGCGGGGAAGCUUCCUGAACCAACGGACUACCGCUGCUCCCACCGAAAGGGGGGACGUAGCACCCGGGUAAUGCCCAGGGG